AAGCUCGUAGUUGGAUUUCUGUUAAUAAUUUAUAUAAAAUAUUUUGAUGAAUAUUUAUAUAAUAUUAACAUAAUUCAUAUUACUAUUUUUUAGUAUAUGAAAUUUUACUUUGAGAAAAUUAGAGUGCUUAAAGCAGGCAUAUGCCUUGAAUACUCCAGCAUGGAAUAAUAUUAAAGAUUUUUAUCUUUUUUAUUGGUUCUAAGAUAAGAAUAAUGAUUAAUAGGGACAGUUGGGGGCAUUUGUAUUUAACAGUCAGAGGUGAAAUUCUUAGAUUUGUUAAAGACAAACUAAUGCGAAAGCAUUUGCCAAGGAUGUUUUCAUUAAUCAAGAACGAAAGUUAGGGGAUCGAAGACGAUCAGAUACCGUCGUAGUCUUAACCAUAAACUAUGCCAACUAGAGAUUGGAGGUUGUUCCUUACUCCUUCAGCACCUUA
RNAcentral lists this ribosomal RNA (433 nucleotides) under Cryptosporidium sp. NJCF-5. RNAcentral's name for it is "SSU rRNA". It matches the Rfam family "Eukaryotic small subunit ribosomal RNA", at positions 624 to 1090 of the family's 1831-position model. The record is from RNAcentral. Lineage: Eukaryota; Apicomplexa; Conoidasida; Eucoccidiorida; Cryptosporidiidae.